This 476-nucleotide ribosomal RNA is filed under the name uncultured organism. Its description in RNAcentral is "partial 16S ribosomal RNA". It matches the Rfam family "Bacterial small subunit ribosomal RNA", at positions 331 to 798 of the family's 1533-position model. The record is from RNAcentral.
GUACACUCCUACGGGAGGCAGCAGUGGGGAAUUUUGGACAAUGGGCGAAAGCCUGAUCCAGCCAUGCCGCGUGCAGGAUGAAGGCCUUCGGGUUGUAAACUGCUUUUGUACGGAACGAAACGGCCUUUUCUAAUAAAGAGGGCUAAUGACGGUACCGUAAGAAUAAGCACCGGCUAACUACGUGCCAGCAGCCGCGGUAAUACGUAGGGUGCAAGCGUUAAUCGGAAUUACUGGGCGUAAAGCGUGCGCAGGCGGUUAUGUAAGACAGUUGUGAAAUCCCCGGGCUCAACCUGGGAACUGCAUCUGUGACUGCAUAGCUAGAGUACGGUAGAGGGGGAUGGAAUUCCGCGUGUAGCAGUGAAAUGCGUAGAUAUGCGGAGGAACACCGAUGGCGAAGGCAAUCCCCUGGACCUGUACUGACGCUCAUGCACGAAAGCGUGGGGAGCAAACAGGAUUAGAUACCCUUAUAGUCCCAU